This 89-nucleotide transfer RNA is filed under the name Actinokineospora sp. NBRC 105648. RNAcentral's name for it is "tRNA-Gly". Lineage: Bacteria; Bacillati; Actinomycetota; Actinomycetes; Pseudonocardiales; Pseudonocardiaceae. The record is from RNAcentral.
CGACCGGCUGCGCGAUGGGCCGGGUGCGCUCGGUGCCGACGAGCCGGUUCACCGUCGGCGAGGUGCUCUUCGACCGGGCACUGGCCGCC